This 1273-nucleotide long non-coding RNA is filed under the name Salmo salar (Atlantic salmon). RNAcentral's name for it is "lncRNA (ENSSSAG00000107513.1)". Lineage: Eukaryota; Metazoa; Chordata; Actinopteri; Salmoniformes; Salmonidae. The record is from RNAcentral.
CUAGUUAGUUAGCGGUGGUGCGCGCUAAUAGCGUUUCAAUCUGGUGACGUCACUCGCUCUGAGACCUGAAGUAGUUGUUCCCCUUGCUCUGCAAGGGCCGUGGCUUUUGUGGAGCGAUGGGUAACGAUACUCGAGGGUGGCUGUUGUCGAUGUGUGCAGAGGGUCCCUGGUUCGAGCACAGAUGAGCAAAGGAGGAUAAAUGAGAACAGCAGGCCACUGGAGCACUUAGAACAGGAGCAGCCAGAGGUAGGGAAGAGGAUGAUUUAGGUCACCAAAACACAGGCCCGAAACAAGUUAAGCUACCCCAGUAUCUCCUUGACCGUUUUGGAUUGCACAGCUAAAGAGACACGUGAGACAAGACACAGAGACAACAACAGAAAAAUAGAUGAUGGAGAGAGACACCAGACGAGACACAGAGGCAGCAACAGAAGAGAAGCAUAGAGACACACCAGACAAGACACAGAGACAGCAACUGAAGAAUAGGCGAUUGAGAGAGAAACCAGAAGAGACAUAGAGACAGCAACAGAAGAAUAUGAUAUGAUGGAGAGAGACACCAGAAGAACAGAACAGGCCAUAACAGAAGAGGAUAGACAAAGGAGACAGUAACAAACAAGACACUGAGACAGCAACAGGCAAAACACAGAGAAAGUGACAGAAGAAUGCAGAUGGAGAGAGAACAGAGGUGGGUUAAGCACACAGUAGUCUGUAUCACUUCAAGCUGCUCUAUAGAUUCUAAUGAGUUGGAUUUAUUUGCACAAAUUAUAAGAGGUGAAAUACAGACCGUGAAAAAGUAAAACAUGGUUUACAAAGAAUUUGCUGGUGAGGUGAAAAAGCCUGUGAAAUUACUAUUAAAACAAUUGUUUACUUUUACACAUUUUACAACCGGGGGGGACGAGAGAGGAAAGUAAACAAGAGACAGCAACAUAGAAUACUAAGAGACAGCAACAGAUCAGGGCAGACGAGAGACAGCAACAGACGACCCAGAGAAAGCUAUAGAAAGAGACAGAGGAAGGAUGAGUAUUCACGUACCUGCUGCGCCUUGGUCCAUUUCUACAGAAGACAACCGUUACAGAACCACCCACCAAAGGACCAAGCAGCAGAAGAGGAGGAAGCCACAUGAGAGAAAAAAGGGAACAAUGGACAUGGGAGGACGUCCUGGACGGCAAGGGAGCCUACACCUGGGAAGAGAUCCUGGCCGGAAGGGAUCGCCUCCCAUGGGAACAGGUGGAGGCACUCAGGAGAGUGGAGGCAGCUGGACAGAGGAACCAUCGGG